GGCGCCUCCACCAAAAUAUAAGCAACCAAAAUUAUAUUUUGGUGGGGGCCAUUUAGGAUCGACAAGGGUGUAAAGAUCGCUCUUUUACUCGGCAUUGUACCACCGUUAUCGGGCUAAAUGAGUAGUUGCAAAUGACAACUAUGCGGAAGCACGUCUCGCUGCUUGAAGUAGUGUGAAUGUUUCAAAUUGACUCUUAAACCGUCGCAGGUUUAAGCGGGGUUGGAAGGCACCUGG
RNAcentral lists this transfer-messenger RNA (234 nucleotides) under uncultured Bartonella sp. RNAcentral's name for it is "partial ssrA". It matches the Rfam family "Alphaproteobacteria transfer-messenger RNA", at positions 107 to 338 of the family's 355-position model. Rfam says of the family: Bacterial tmRNA, also known as 10Sa RNA or SsrA, is named for its dual tRNA and mRNA-like properties. The record is from RNAcentral. Lineage: Bacteria; Pseudomonadati; Pseudomonadota; Alphaproteobacteria; Hyphomicrobiales; Bartonellaceae.